RNAcentral lists this ribosomal RNA (253 nucleotides) under uncultured bacterium. RNAcentral describes it as "partial 16S ribosomal RNA". It matches the Rfam family "Bacterial small subunit ribosomal RNA", at positions 524 to 776 of the family's 1533-position model. The record is from RNAcentral.
UACGAAGCGUGCAAGCGUUACUCGGAAUUACUGGGCGUAAAGGGUGAGUAGGCGGAUGAGCAAGUCAAGGAUGAAAGCCCGAGGCUCAACUGCGGAAGUGCCCUUGAAACUGCCCAGCUUGAGGGUAGUUGAGGCGAGUGGAAUUCCCGGUGGAGCGGUGAAAUGCGUAGAUAUCGGGAGGAACACCUGAGGCGAAGGCGGCUCGCUAGGCUAUUCCUGACGCUGAAUAACGAAAGCUAGGGGAUCAAACGGG